RNAcentral lists this ribosomal RNA (465 nucleotides) under uncultured bacterium. Its description in RNAcentral is "bacterial SSU rRNA". It matches the Rfam family "Bacterial small subunit ribosomal RNA", at positions 355 to 825 of the family's 1533-position model. The record is from RNAcentral.
UAGGGAAUAUUGGACAAUGGGUGAGAGCCUGAUCCAGCCAUGCCGCGUGCAGGAAGAAGGCGUUAUGCGUUGUAAACUGCUUUUGCCAGGGGAUAAAAAGACCGUGCGCGGUUAAUUGAAGGUACCUGGUGAAUAAGCCACGGCUAACUACGUGCCAGCAGCCGCGGUAAUACGUAGGGUGCAGGCGUUAAUCGGAAUUACUGGGCGUAAAGCGUGCGCAGGCGGCUCCUUAAGUCAGAUGUGAAAUCCCCGGGCUUAACCUGGGAACUGCGUUUGAAACUGAGGGGCUAGAGUGUGGAAGAGGGGGUGGAAUUCCAGGUGUAGCAGUGAAAUGCGUAGAGAUCUGGAGGAACACCGAUGGCGAAGGCAGCCCCCUGGGCUAACACUGACGCUCAUGCACGAAAGCGUGGGGAGCAAACAGGAUUAGAUACCCUUGUAGUCCCUGAGCGGGCUGGCAAGGCGCAU